This 497-nucleotide ribosomal RNA is filed under the name uncultured bacterium. Its description in RNAcentral is "partial 16S ribosomal RNA". It matches the Rfam family "Bacterial small subunit ribosomal RNA", at positions 28 to 507 of the family's 1533-position model. The record is from RNAcentral.
GAUGAACGCUGGCGGCGUGCCUAAUACAUGCAAGUCGAGCGAACAGACGAGGAGCUUGCUCCUCUGACGUUAGCGGCGGACGGGUGAGUAACACGUGGAUAACCUACCUAUAAGACUGGGAUAACUUCGGGAAACCGGAGCUAAUACCGGAUAAUAUAUUUAACCGCAUGGUUCAAUAGUGAAAGACGGUUUUGCUGUCACUUAUAGAUGGAUCCGCGCCGCAUUAGCUAGUUGGUAAGGUAACGGCUUACCAAGGCGACGAUGCGUAGCCGACCUGAGAGGGUGAUCGGCCACACUGGAACUGAGACACGGUCCAGACUCCUACGGGAGGCAGCAGUAGGGAAUCUUCCGCAAUGGGCGAAAGCCUGACGGAGCAACGCCGCGUGAGUGAUGAAGGUCUUCGGAUCGUAAAACUCUGUUAUUAGGGAUGAACAAAUGUGUAAGUAACUAUGCACGUCUUGACGGUACCUAAUCAGAAAGCCACGGCUAACUACGUG